Molecule: long non-coding RNA, 150 nt
Organism: Sander lucioperca (pikeperch)
Lineage: Eukaryota; Metazoa; Chordata; Actinopteri; Perciformes; Percidae
Exons: 3
Source: RefSeq, a predicted model, not a curated record
AACAGUCCAAAAAUAACUGGUGAUUUGCUCCCAAGUUGGUGCAAAUACACCCACCUGUAUGUAAAAACAACCACAGGACUCAAGGAGGCAGGAUGAGAGACAGCAAAGGAACAGAAAAGAGCUGAUAGAGAGCAAAGGAACAGUAAAUAU